Molecule: long non-coding RNA, 370 nt
Organism: Drosophila miranda
Lineage: Eukaryota; Metazoa; Arthropoda; Insecta; Diptera; Drosophilidae
Exons: 2
Source: RefSeq, a predicted model, not a curated record
GGUGUCGGUAGAAAUAUCUGUAAAUAUAUAGUUAUUAAUUAUAAUUUGCCGAAGCUGCAGACCAUAUGACCAAACAUACCAUAUGAGGGAUAUGAUACUCAUCUAUCAUUAUGAAAAAAGUAGCAACGUUAGAUGUUAACUUCCUCCUCCCACGCUUUGCCGGCACAGGAGCCUGCGCUGACUGGUUGUUGGUACUUGUUGGAGAUGCCGCAGCUGGAGGCCUAGACACUGCAUCUGGUAUACCCAGCGGUCGUUGCUGCUUGUGGUAGCACUGCUCCGGAGUGACUACAUAGCCAUUGUCUCCGAAUGCUAAAAUAAGGAAAAGAAACCAAGAUAAAUAUCUUUGCUCCUUGCAAAGAACUGCAUUAAA